Molecule: ribosomal RNA, 492 nt
Filed under: uncultured bacterium
Lineage: Bacteria
Description: partial 16S ribosomal RNA
Rfam family: Bacterial small subunit ribosomal RNA
Source: RNAcentral
AGUGAACGCUGGCGGUAGGCCUAACACAUGCAAGUCGAACGGCAGCACAGUAAGAGGUUGCUCAUACGGGUGUCGAGUGGCGGACGGUUGAGGAAUACAUCGGAAUAUACUUUUUCGUGGGUGAUAACGUAGGGAAACUUACGCUAAUCCCGCAUACGACCUACGGGUGAAAGCAGGGGAUCUUCGGACCUUGCGCGAUUGAAUGAGCCGAUGGAGGAUUAGCUAUUUGGCGGGGUAAAGGCCCACCAAGGCGACGAUCCGUGGCUGGUCUGAGCGUGUGAGCAGCCAGACUGUAACUGAGACAGUGCACAGACUCCGUGGGGAGGCAGCGGUGGGGAAUAUUGGGCGAUGGUGGCAAGCCUAAUCCAGCCAUACCGCGUGGGUGAAGAAGGCCUUCGGGUUGUAAAGCCCUUUUGGUGGGAAAGAAAAGCAGCAGGUUAAUACCCCGCUGUUCUGACGGUACCCAAAGAAUAAGCACCGGCUAACUUCGUG